CGCCUCCACUCACCGAGUCACUACUUCACAUGGAAACAUUAAUUAGAACCUGUUAACCGUUUAAAGCUCCUGCAGGUUUAUUUUCAGGUUUAACACUAAAAUCAGCGUCUAAAAAACCAUUUCAACUAUCAAAAACACUCCUGCUUCUGGUCAAACGGACAUAUAAUGUUACCGUGUCCAUGUGGACAUGCAGCGGUACCAGUUGCCAGGUUAUGAGCUCCAGCUUCUUGCAGAGCUGCAGAGACAACAGAACCAUGCCCAGUUCUGUGACACCAUGCUGCAGACGGAGGGUAUCUCCGUCCCGACCCACAGCUGCGUCCUUGCAGCCCUCAGCCCCUACCUGUCCCACAAGCUGUCCUCCUCCCCGUCUCCUCCGUCGGGACAGAAGCGCCAGCUGCAGCUGCAGGCGG
Molecule: long non-coding RNA, 410 nt
Organism: Centropristis striata (black sea bass)
Lineage: Eukaryota; Metazoa; Chordata; Actinopteri; Perciformes; Serranidae
Exons: 3
Source: RefSeq, a predicted model, not a curated record